GACGAACGCUGGCGGCGUGCUUAACACAUGCAAGUCGAACGCAGUGGCGAACGGGUGAGUAACGCGUAAUCAACCUGCCCUUCAGAGGGGGACAACAGUUGGAAACGACUGCUAAUACCCCAUACUGAAGGAGGGGCUUGCGUCUGAUUAGCUAGUUGGGGGGGUAACGGCCCACCAAGGCGAUGGUCAUUAGCCGGUCUGGGAGGAGGAACGGGCACAGUGGGACUGGGACAAGGCCCAGACUCCUACGGGAGGCAGCAGUGGGGAAUCUUCCGGAAUGGAAGAAAGUCUGAUGGAGCAAAGCCGCGUGAGUGAUGACGGCCUUCGGGUUGUAAAGCUCUGUUAGUCGGGACGCGGUACCGGAAUAGAAAGCCACGGCUAACUACGUGCCAGCAGCCGCGGUAAUUC
RNAcentral lists this ribosomal RNA (408 nucleotides) under uncultured bacterium. RNAcentral describes it as "partial 16S ribosomal RNA". It matches the Rfam family "Bacterial small subunit ribosomal RNA", at positions 28 to 526 of the family's 1533-position model. The record is from RNAcentral.